UCCAAAGUGACUUACAUUGCAUUUUUAACAAUUUUGCCCGGGUAGCAAUUAGGGGUUAGGUGUCUUGCUCAGGGAUACUUUGACUUGGAGAAACCAGGGCUUGAACCGUGAUCCUUGCGGUUCCCAGCGGUUAGGGUUAGGCGCACCCUCUCUACCCCAUGCGCCACCCACACAACCAUAACCAUAAUAAUGAUAGUGAUGGUGAUAGUCAUAGGUGUGUUUUGUUGUCAUCUUAUCCCUGCCUGUCUUUUUCCGGUGGCCAUGACAACGGGGCGUGGACUUUGAGGACGCGCAGCUGCUUCGAAUCAGUCACCUGACUCCCGUUCCCUAUCAGGGGGGUAUUUAGGAGCAACCCGGAGAUCCAGUCCCUGCCGGAUCGUUAGAUGCCAAUAGGUUAUACCUUGUACGACCAUUGUUCACCCUGCCGGACUUCGCCUCACCUAACUUCGAAUCACCUGACACGCCAUUAUCUCUCGUUGGGUCAAGGACUCUGUGAAGGGACCCACUCCAGGAACCAGAAAGUUGCAGACUACUGGUGGUUUUCUGCUUUGUUGUUUUUGUUGUUUGACUCACGGAAUUAAACCUUUUGUUUCAA
Molecule: long non-coding RNA, 595 nt
Organism: Gasterosteus aculeatus aculeatus (three-spined stickleback)
Lineage: Eukaryota; Metazoa; Chordata; Actinopteri; Perciformes; Gasterosteidae
Source: RefSeq, a predicted model, not a curated record